ACUCAGAUAGUUUAAGAAAAAUGUUAGCUUGUGGCGCUUAAGAUGUAAAUUUUACUUUGAGUA
This 63-nucleotide transfer RNA is filed under the name Lissocarcinus arkati. RNAcentral describes it as "tRNA-His". It matches the Rfam family "tRNA". From Rfam's summary of the family: Transfer RNA (tRNA) molecules are approximately 80 nucleotides in length. Their secondary structure includes four short double-helical elements and three loops (D, anti-codon, and T loops). Further hydrogen bonds mediate the characteristic L-shaped molecular structure. tRNAs have two regions of fundamental functional importance: the anti-codon, which is responsible for specific mRNA codon recognition, and the 3' end, to which the tRNAs corresponding amino acid is attached (by aminoacyl-tRNA synthetases). tRNAs cope with the degeneracy of the genetic code in two manners: having more than one tRNA (with a specific anti-codon) for a particular amino acid; and 'wobble' base-pairing, i.e. permitting non-standard base-pairing at the 3rd anti-codon position. The record is from RNAcentral. Lineage: Eukaryota; Metazoa; Arthropoda; Malacostraca; Decapoda; Portunidae.